This 358-nucleotide long non-coding RNA is filed under the name Prunus dulcis (almond). RNAcentral's name for it is "sRNA ncRNA". The record is from RNAcentral. Lineage: Eukaryota; Viridiplantae; Streptophyta; Magnoliopsida; Rosales; Rosaceae.
GCAGGCUCUAAUGGGAAACAAAAACCGAGCAGCAUCACCAUCUUUUGCUUCUUCUUCUUCUUCUUCACGUACAUGUCUAUGCUCUCCUUCCACACAUCCAGGCUCAUUCCGAUGCAGCCUGCACAGGGGGAGGGGCCCACAAGCUGGGAAAUCAAGCAGUUCUACAAUCACAGCCGUCCAUCAUGUUAACAACCAAUCCACGAAGAUGAAGAUGAUGAAGAAACUGAUGAUGACCAACUCCAAAGCACACCUUCUCAAUGCCUUUCUCAAACUGAUGAUCAAGCCCUCCAGCCAUCACCUUCAAAGGAGGAUGAAUUUCAAGCCCAAGCCCACCAGGUUUUGUUUGAUGAACGUAUAG